RNAcentral lists this ribosomal RNA (254 nucleotides) under uncultured bacterium. Its description in RNAcentral is "partial 16S ribosomal RNA". It matches the Rfam family "Bacterial small subunit ribosomal RNA", at positions 524 to 776 of the family's 1533-position model. The record is from RNAcentral.
UACGUAGGGUGCGAGCGUUAAUCGGAAUUACUGGGCGUAAAGCGUGCGCAGGCGGUGAUGUAAGACAGAUGUGAAAUCCCCGGGCUUAACCUGGGGAAUUGCAUUUGUGACUGCACGGCUAGAGUGUGUCAGAGGGGGGUAGAAUUCCACGUGUAGCAGUGAAAUGCGUAGAGAUGUGGAGGAAUACCGAUGGCGAAGGCAGCCCCCUGGGAUAACACUGACGCUCAUGCACGAAAGCGUGGGGAGCAAACAGG